ACUGGACGUGAUGGCAUUGAUGGUGGGGAUGAAGGAACUGCUGGGUAGCUGCGUUUUGGCAGGAUACUGGCUUCCUGAGGCAGGUACCAGGAUUCGACUGUUAAGGGAGCUCCAAAAUUAAGAUUAGCCAUCUAACUCCCUGACCCUGUAAUUCUGCGGUGAGAUCGCCAAGAUGAUAGGGGAGUAUAAGCCAAUUUGG
This is a long non-coding RNA of Coregonus clupeaformis (lake whitefish), 199 nucleotides long. RefSeq lists it as uncharacterized. The record is from RefSeq and is a predicted model, not a curated record. NCBI's taxonomy places the organism in Eukaryota, Metazoa, Chordata, Actinopteri, Salmoniformes, Salmonidae. The transcript is spliced from 3 exons.